AUUUUGGACAAUGGGGGCAACCCUGAUCCAGCCAUUCCGCGUGAGUGAAGAAGGCCUUCGGGUUGUAAAGCUCUUUCAGCUGGAACGAAACGGUACGCUCUAACAUAGCGUGCUAAUGACGGUACCAGCAGAAGAAGCACCGGCUAACUACGUUCCAGCAGCCGCGGUAAUACGUAGGGUGCGAGCGUUAAUCGGAAUUACUGGGCGUAAAGCGUGCGCAGGCGGAUUGUUAAGCAAGAUGUGAAAUCCCCGGGCUUAACCUGGGAAUGGCAUUUUGAACUGGCAGUCUAGAGUGCGUCAGAGGGGGGUGGAAUUCCACGUGUAGCAGUGAAAUGCGUAGAGAUGUGGAGGAACACCGAUGGCGAAGGCAGCCCCCUGGGAUGACACUGACGCUCAUGUACGAAAGCGUGGGUAGCAAACAGG
This 423-nucleotide ribosomal RNA is filed under the name uncultured bacterium. Its description in RNAcentral is "bacterial SSU rRNA". It matches the Rfam family "Bacterial small subunit ribosomal RNA", at positions 361 to 776 of the family's 1533-position model. The record is from RNAcentral.